CGACGUAGGUAAUCUAUCCUUACAUUUGGGAUAACAUCGGGAAACUGGUGCUAAUACCGAAUGGUCUUCAUUGCUUUGGGGCGAUGGAGUAAAGGUGGCCUCUUCAUGAAAGCUACCGUGUAGGGAUGAGCCUGCGUACCAUUAGCUAGUAGGUGGGGUAAUGGCCCACCUAGGCUACGAUGGUUAGCGGGUCUGAGAGGAUGAUCCGCCACACUGGAACUGAAACACGGACCAG
Molecule: ribosomal RNA, 235 nt
Filed under: uncultured bacterium
Lineage: Bacteria
Description: partial 16S ribosomal RNA
Rfam family: Bacterial small subunit ribosomal RNA
Source: RNAcentral